ACUGGGCUGAAAUUAAAAUUGUGUUAAAUUUUGUUGCGAGAUGCCAGAUGAGCUCCACAUCAUUGAUGUGUUAGUUCUUUUUUGUAUCUUUCAAAGUACCCACCUACUAAUUCCUUUUGAUGUCAUAUUUUGGUAGCAAACCAACCAAAGAUGUGUUCUACCUUCAAGCAGACAAGUAUGGGUGAUUGUGAAACAGCAGGUCCUUCUACAUCAGGGGUAUUACCUUCCUCAAAGAAGAAAACAAGGUUUUCCAACAACAAUGUUUUGGAUACUGACAGAAGCUCUGCCAGCGAUUUCGAUCUGCCUAAUUCUGAGAGUGACGAUGAUCAGCUCUAUACCAAGAAUAGAGUCUAUGGUAAGAAUUAAGUAAAGUCAUUAAGUUUUCCAAAUUUCAUAUCUUGGUCAUAGUAUUUAUGUGAUACAUAUGAUACAAGCAGUUUCGUGUGAUAAUUAUAAUAACAAAUAUUUGAAGCACAAAAUUCAUAUUUAGCCCCCCCCCCC
This is a long non-coding RNA of Lytechinus variegatus (green sea urchin), 501 nucleotides long. RefSeq lists it as uncharacterized. The record is from RefSeq and is a predicted model, not a curated record. Lineage: Eukaryota; Metazoa; Echinodermata; Echinoidea; Temnopleuroida; Toxopneustidae. The transcript is spliced from 2 exons.